Molecule: ribosomal RNA, 146 nt
Filed under: uncultured Flavobacterium sp.
Lineage: Bacteria; Pseudomonadati; Bacteroidota; Flavobacteriia; Flavobacteriales; Flavobacteriaceae
Description: partial 16S ribosomal RNA
Rfam family: Bacterial small subunit ribosomal RNA
Source: RNAcentral
CGCAGCCUGAACCAGCCAUGCCGCGUGCAGGAUGACGGUCCUAUGGAUUGUAAACUGCUUUUGUACGGGAAGAAACCCUCCUACGUGUAGGAGCUUGACGGUACCGUAAGAAUAAGGAUCGGCUAACUCCGUGCCAGCAGCCGCGG